GAUGAACGCUAGCGGGAGGCCUAACACAUGCAAGCCGAGCGGUAGAGAUCUUUCGGGAUCUUGAGAGCGGCGUACGGGUGCGGAACACGUGUGCAACCUGCCUUUAUCUGGGGGAUAGCCUUUCGAAAGGAAGAUUAAUACCCCAUAAUAUACUGAAUGGCAUCAUUCGGUAUUGAAAACUCCGGUGGAUAGAGAUGGGCACGCGCAAGAUUAGAUAGUUGGUGAGGUAACGGCUCACCAAGUCUACGAUCUUUAGGGGGCCUGAGAGGGUGAUCCCCCACACUGGUACUGAGACACGGACCAGACUCCUACGGGAGGCAGCAGUGAGGAAUAUUGGACAAUGGGUGAGAGCCUGAUCCAGCCAUCCCGCGUGAAGGACGACGGCCCUAUGGGUUGUAAACUUCUUUUGUAUAGGGAUAAACCUACCCUCGUGAGGGUAGCUGAAGGUACUAUACGAAUAAGCACCGGCUAACUCCGUGCCAGCAGCCGCGGUAAUACGGAGGGUGCAAGCGUUAUCCGGAUUUAUUGGGUUUAAAGGGUCCGUAGGCGGAUCUGUAAGUCAGUGGUGAAAUCUCACAGCUUAACUGUGAAACUGCCAUUGAUACUGCAGGUCUUGAGUGUUGUUGAAGUANCUGGAAUAAGUAGUGNAGCGGUGAAAUGCAUAGAUAUUACUUAGAACACCAAUUGC
This 688-nucleotide ribosomal RNA is filed under the name uncultured prokaryote. RNAcentral's name for it is "bacterial SSU rRNA". It matches the Rfam family "Bacterial small subunit ribosomal RNA", at positions 28 to 716 of the family's 1533-position model. The record is from RNAcentral.